Molecule: long non-coding RNA, 2263 nt
Organism: Dreissena polymorpha
Lineage: Eukaryota; Metazoa; Mollusca; Bivalvia; Myida; Dreissenidae
Exons: 3
Source: RefSeq, a predicted model, not a curated record
UAACCAGGUUUUCCGAAGGAAAAAACUGGUUAUUAGAUUGGCGAAUGCGGGCGGGCUGGCUGGCUGGCGGGCUGGCGGAAUAAGCUUGUCCGGGCCAUAACUAUGUCGUUCAUUGUCAGAUUUUAAAAUCAUUUGGCACAUUUGUUCACCAUCAUUGGACGGUGUGUCGCGCGAAAUAAUUACGUCGAUAUCUCCAAGGUCAAGGUCACACUUUGAGUUCAAAGGUCAAAAAUGGCCAUAAAUGAGCUUGUCCGAGCCAUAACUAUGUCGUUCAUCGUCAGAUUUUAAAAUCAUUUGGCACAUUUGUUCACCAUCAUUGGACGGUGUGUCGCGCGAAAUAAUUACGUCGAUAUCUCCAAGGUCAAGGUCACACUUUGAGUUCAAAGGUCAAAAAUGGCCAUAAAUGAGCUUGUCCUGGCCAUAACUAUGUCAUUCAUUGUGAGAUUUUAAAAUCAUUUGGCACAUUUGUUCACCAUCAUGGGACGGUGUGUCGCACGAAAGAAUCACGUCAAUAUCUCCAAUGUCAAGAUCGCCACGACUAAAAAUAGAUUUUUUUUAAAAACAAACUUACAAAGGGGGUUAAUUUUGUUUGUUCAUUUCAAAAGUUCAGUUUGAGUUUUCUCCCUUUAUCAGAUUUUUUUUUCACAAUGAAAACCUGGUUUUGUGACAAUUAUGUCCCUUGUUCUCCAUAUGUAUAUAGUGAAAACAUGUGAACACAGUAGAAGUCACAUUUUUGGCCCAAUUUUCAUGAAAUUUGCUCAGAACAUUUGUUUCCUUGAUACGAGAGUUGAGUUCAAAAAUGGUUCCAGUCAGUUGAAUAACAUGGCUGCUGGGAGGGGGGCAGUUUUCUCAUUAUGCCCCCCCCCCCCCCCUUUCGAAGAAGAGGGGGUAUAUUGUUUUGCUCAUGUGGGUCCGUUCGUCCACCAGAUGGUUUCCGGAUGAUAAAUCAAGAGCGCUUAUGCCAAGGCUCAUGAAACUUCAUAGGUACAUUGAUCAUGACUCGCAGAUGACCCCUAUUGAUUUUCAGGUCACUAGGUCAAAGGUCAAGGUCACGAUGACCAGAAAUAGUAAAAUGGUUUCUGGAUGAUAACUCAAGAACGCUUAUGCCUAGGAUCAUGAAACUUCAUAGAUACAUUGAUCAUGACUCGCAGAUGACACCUAUUGAUUUUCUGGUCACUAGGUCAAAGGUCAAGGUCACGGUGACCCAAAGCAGUAAAAUGGUUUCCAGAUGAUAACUCAAGAACGCUUAUGCCUAGGAUCAUGAAACUUCAUAGAAACAUUUAUCAUGACUCGCAGAUAACCCCUAUUGAUUUUCAGGUCACUGGGUCAAAGGUCAAGGUCACGAUGACCCGAAAUAGUAAAAUGGUUUCCGGAUGAUAACUCAAGAAUGCUUAGGCCUAGGAUCAUGAAACUUCAUAGGUACAUUGAUCAUGACUCGCAGAUGACCUCUAUUGAUUUUCAGGUCACUAGGUCAAAGGUUAAGGUCACGGUGACCCGAAAUAGUAAAAUGGUUUCCAGAUGAUAACUCAAGAACGCUUAUGCCUAGGAUCAUGAAACUUCAUAGGUACAAUGAUCAUGACUUGCAGAUGACCCCUAUUGAUUUUCAGGUCACUAGGUCAAAGGUCAAGGUCACAGUGACCUGAAAUAGUAAAAUGGUUUCUGGAUGAUAACUCAAGAACGCUUAUGCCUAGGUUCAUGAAACUUCAAAGGUAUAUUGAUCAUGACUCGCAGAUGUCCCCUAUUGAUUAUCAGGUCACUAGGUCAAGGUCACAGUGCCAAAAAACGUAUUCACACAAUGGCUGUCAAGGUCACGGUGACUCAACUUAGAAAAAUGGUUUCCGGAUGAUAACUCAAGAAUGCUUACGCCUAGGAUCAUGAAACUUCAUAGGUACAUUGAUCAUGACUCGCAGAUGAAAUAAUGAUGAAACUUGACCAGGAUGUUUGUCUGGACAAUAUCUAGGUCAAGUUUGACAUAAGUUAAAGAUUGAAUGAACUGACUCCUCUCAGGUGAGCGAACUAGAGCCAUCUUGGCCCUCUUGUUAUGUUUGCGUUCCGUCCACCAUCUUCAUAGGUAUGUACAUUGAUCAUGACUGGCAGAUGACCCCUAUUGAUUUUCAGGUCACUAGGUCAAAGGUCAAGGUCACAGUGACUUGAAAUAGGAAAAUGGUUUCCGGAAGAUAACUCAAGAAUGCUUACGCCUAGGAUCAUGAAACUUUAUAGGUACAUUGAUCAUGACUGGUAGAUGACCCCUAUUGAUUUUCAG